Molecule: unclassified non-coding RNA, 148 nt
Organism: Pongo abelii (Sumatran orangutan)
Lineage: Eukaryota; Metazoa; Chordata; Mammalia; Primates; Hominidae
Rfam family: Metazoan signal recognition particle RNA
About the family: The signal recognition particle (SRP) is a universally conserved ribonucleoprotein. It is involved in the co-translational targeting of proteins to membranes.
Source: Ensembl
GCCUGGUGUGGUGGUGCACGCCUGUAAUCCCAGCUACUUGGGAGGCUGAGGCAGGAGAAUUGCUUGAACCUGGGAGGUGGAGGUUGCAGUGAGCUGAGAUCAUGCCACUGCACUCCAGCCUGGGUGACAGAGUAAGACUCUGUCUCAA